This 2748-nucleotide long non-coding RNA is filed under the name Solanum tuberosum (potato). RNAcentral's name for it is "long non-coding RNA (STUB_LNC002362)". The record is from RNAcentral. Lineage: Eukaryota; Viridiplantae; Streptophyta; Magnoliopsida; Solanales; Solanaceae.
AUAAGGAAAAAUCCAACAAUUUAUCCGUAACUCCUCCAUGUUUUUGUUUGUUCCACUUCAUUGCUCUUUUCUUUUUCGUCAAGUAACUGAAUCUAUGUUUCCUUCCUUUGCAUCUGUUGCAAAUAACACAUCUUCUGUCUCUUUUCCUCAUAAUCUCUUGGGUAACUUAUCAAUCCAUCAAAAAAAAAAAUGUAAUUAAGAGGUUAUAUUUAUAUCCUUCGAGUAUAAACAUAUUGAUACUUGAAACUGCACAACUGAGUCCAUCUGGAAGAUCAGCACCUAAAAUCCUAAAUGAGCAAAAUGAAUAGUUUCAUUUGUACUAACUGCCAGAAAACUAAAUAAAAAAUCUUCUAGUUAAGAUAACAGCUGCAUUAUUAAUCAUCCAGUUUGUGAGGUAUUUCCAUUCAUUCCAAUAAACUGAAACAGAAAAUGUGGAAAGCACCCGAAGUAGUAAACAACUAAUAGACUCAUCACACGGAGGUAGAGACACAAUUUGAUCUGUUGAAAACACAAUUCAACAAUCAGUUUAUUUAUUUCUAUGGAUACAAUACACUUCUUAAUUUUAAGAAACUUCUUCUUCCAAACAUCUCUUUGGCUUUUAUCUAAGAAUUGACAUGCCACCUCUGUUCUGUUUUUUUGGUAUAUACAAGAAAAUACAAAUAUACAAGUGUUUCCUCAUCGACAAUCUUCUUUGCAGUCUAGAACUAAAAUUGAGAAUUUCAAAAGCAAGUCAGGUAAUAGUGUAUGUUCAAUCUCUUUUGUGAUUUGGUACAUCCUUGCAUAUUUCAUAACAACUACUUGAGGUACCUUAUUUAAUUACUGCUUGACAUUAAUUGCUCGAGGUCUCCAGCCAGAAACUAUAUUUUCGAAGAGCUCGGUGUGGAGCAAAAAUAGGAUAUCCUAGAGGUCAACAACGGCUCUCGACAACUUAAGCUACAUCUCUGCUUAAAUUUGUUUCGGUUAAUGAAUCUACUUCUAGAAAGCUCUACAAAAUUGAAAUCAAACAAAUAUCAUAUAUUUGAAAGACAUGUGUUGCUAUAUCUACCGGCAUCAACAGACUUAUGCAGACAUAGGCACAUUUCAAUUAAGUAAAUUUUUUAUAACCGGAGAAAUCCCCGAGGUUCCAAACUCAGUGGAUCUUGAGCACAGCUUCUUCCCACCCACCUCCUAUCCAUCCCCCAACCCCAGCCCACCCAAAAAGAGGGUAGUGAAUUUGAAAGCACUUCUGAACCUUUUUAAUUUAUUAGAAAGCACCUUAAAUAGAAUCUUGUAAAUGCUUCCUACCGGACUAAUAGGUCUAUAGUCCUUUAUACUUGUCACACCUUCCUUCUUUGGCACAUUAGUAACAAAGGAUGCAUUAAGACUUUUCUCGUACUCCCCUGAAUUCUGAAUUCUGCAAUGGUCACCAACAGCUCACAUUUGACUAUCCUCCAACAUUGUUGGAAAAGAGCAAACGAGAAUCCAUCAGGACUUGGAGCCUUGUCACCCAGACAACUAUCCCUCACCUCUUCUUCUUCUACAGCCCUUUCCAACCACUCCCUCACCCCCUCCCCUAUUAGGUUAAAUACUAGCGCCCCCCAGAAUUUUUGUCUCCACCUGAUAACUUCCUUGAACGAAUGUUCAUAAAACCAUACAAUGGCCUCCUCCACUUCCGCCUCCCCCUCACGCGCCUAUAAAAACGAUAAAGUUUCUCUUCCUAUUUGCUAUGGCUACCCUAUGAAAGAAUUUUUUGUUAGAAUUCCCCCUCUUUCAACCACAAUGCCCUCAAAUUUUGCCUCCAACUAGUCUCUUCGGCAACCGCUAGAGCCGCAAGCUCCCUCUUUGCCUACUCAUAUCUGACCUUCUCCCUUUCUUCUAACAUCCUCAUCCCUUCCACAUGCUCAAUCUCCCCCACCUCAUUUAUUAGCUCUCUUAUUUUAAACUUUCACCCUCCCAAACACCUCUUUGUUCCAUUUACUUAUAUCUCCGUUUACAAUUUCAACUUACAGGCAAGUCGAAAAGAUGGUGUGCCAGUUUUUAUUCUUGAAAAACUUCAAACUAUAUUAAAAAUAAAUAUCACAUGACUUGAGCAACUAAAUAUGAUGGGAUCCAGUUUUAGUAGCCCAGUGAUUCAGGCAAUACAAUUUUUAGUCAUUUUAUUCUCGUGACAGGGAAAUUUCCCCAUAGAACUAAGAAGAGAUGUCUAUAGAUAUUUCAUCAUAAGCCAUACCACGGCAUUCAACAAUUUCUUUGCUAAAUUCAUACCUACGAUCAAGUCACAAUAUGUCAGAAAGUGCAAUAACAGUUAUCCUGUUACAAUAAAUAGACACAUAGAAACAUAUACAUUAAGAUGUCAAUAACCUAUAGGUCAAGAUAAAAUACCAACAUAUUCUAUUUGGAAAUACUUCGAAAAUACUCUCCACACAAUUUCUUCUUGUUCCCCUGUAUAAAAGGCAACGUGGUUAACAGAGCACCAAAUCUCAGGUAAGCUUCCUAUAGACUUCUCAACAUAACUAGAAAGCCGUAAUCUGAAAGCACUUUUAAAUAAAUUUUAGGAAUGCUAGUAAAGGCCAAAUUAGUUAUUUUCUACACCUUCAAGAUUUAUCCUACCCUUAUCUUCUAGAACUCUAUAGUGUUCCAUUGUUCUUUAGAUGUUUUUAGCUGGUACAAUAUCUUACAAAAGUAGAAAAGACAGAAUUUUUAACUACUUUGAUGUACAUUACUCGAGCUGAGGAUCUUGCUGAAAUAGCCUCUCUACCUCUACGAGGU